GACGAACGCUGGCGGCGUGCUUAACACAUGCGAGUCGAACGGAAAGGCCCUGCUUUUGUGGGGUGCUCGAGUGGCGAACGGGUGAGUAACACGUGAGUAACCUGCCCUUAACUUUGGGAUAACUUCAGGAAACUGGGGCUAAUACCGGAUAGGAGCUCCUGCUGCAUGGUGGGGGUUGGAAAGUUUCGGCGGUUGGGGAUGGACUCGCGGCUUAUCAGCUUGUUGGUGGGGUAGUGGCUUACCAAGGCUUUGACGGGUAGCCGGCCUGAGAGGGUGACCGGCCACAUUGGGACUGAGAUACGGCCCAGACUCCUACGGGAGGCAGCAGUGGGGAAUAUUGCACAAUGGGCGGAAGCCUGAUGCAGCAACGCCGCGUGCGGGAUGACGGCCUUCGGGUUGUAAACCGCUUUCGCCUGUGACGAAGCGUGAGUGACGGUAAUGGGUAAAGAAGCACCGGCUAACUACGUG
RNAcentral lists this ribosomal RNA (468 nucleotides) under uncultured bacterium. RNAcentral describes it as "partial 16S ribosomal RNA". It matches the Rfam family "Bacterial small subunit ribosomal RNA", at positions 28 to 507 of the family's 1533-position model. The record is from RNAcentral.